CCUACGGGUGGCAGCAGUGAGGAAUAUUGGUCAAUGGCCGGAAGGCUGAACCAGCCAAGCCGCGUGAAGGACGAAGGUGCCAAGCAUUGUAAACUUCUUUUGUCAAGGGACAAAAUCAGGCUCGAGAGCCUGACCGAGGGUACUUGAAGAAAAAGCAUCGGAAAACUCCGUGCCAGCAGCCGCGGUAAUACGGAGGAUGCGAGCGUUAUCCGGAUUUAUUGGGUUUAACGGGUGCGUAGGGGGGCUGUUAUGUCAGCGGUAAAAGCCCGGGGCUCAACCCUGUCGAGCCGUCGGAACUGGCAGUCUUGAGUGGGCGAGAAGUAUGCGGAAUGCGUGGUGUAGCGGUGAAAUGCAUAGAGAUCACGCAGAACGCCGAGUGCGAAGGCAGCAUACCGGCGCCCGACUGACGCUGAGGCACGAAAGCGUGGGGAUCGAACAGGAUUAGAUACCCCAGUAGUC
This 459-nucleotide ribosomal RNA is filed under the name uncultured bacterium. RNAcentral's name for it is "partial 16S ribosomal RNA". It matches the Rfam family "Bacterial small subunit ribosomal RNA", at positions 338 to 795 of the family's 1533-position model. The record is from RNAcentral.